This 497-nucleotide ribosomal RNA is filed under the name uncultured bacterium. Its description in RNAcentral is "partial 16S ribosomal RNA". It matches the Rfam family "Bacterial small subunit ribosomal RNA", at positions 28 to 507 of the family's 1533-position model. The record is from RNAcentral.
GAUGAACGCUGGCGGCGUGCCUAAUACAUGCAAGUCGAACGCAUAGCGAAAGGUGCUUGCACCUUUCAAGUGAGUGGCGAACGGGUGAGUAACACGUGGACAACCUGCCUCAAGGCUGGGGAUAACAUUUGGAAACAGAUGCUAAUACCGAAUAAACCUUAGUGUCGCAUGACACAAAGUUAAAAGGCGCUUCUGCGUCACCUAGAGCUGGAUCCGCGGUUGUUUAGUUAGUUGGUGGGGUAAAGGCCUACCAAGACAAUGAUGCAUAGCCGAGUUGAGAGACGGGUAGGCCACAUUGGGACUGAGACACCGCCCAAACUCCUACGGGAGGCUGCAGUAGGGAAUCUUCCACAAUGGGCGAAAGCCUGAUGGAGCAAGGCCGCGUGUGUGAUGAAGGCUUUCGGGUCGUAAAGCACUGUUGUAUGGGAAGAACAGCUAGAAUAGGAAAUGAUUUUAGUUUGACGGUACCAUACCAGAAAGGGACGGCUAAAUACGUG